This 220-nucleotide long non-coding RNA is filed under the name Trifolium pratense (red clover). RNAcentral's name for it is "long non-coding RNA (TPRA_LNC011111)". Lineage: Eukaryota; Viridiplantae; Streptophyta; Magnoliopsida; Fabales; Fabaceae. The record is from RNAcentral.
AAUUCAAACCCCCCUUUCUUGUGACAAACAUUGUUACUACAAUUGGCAUCAGAGCACUGCCUCUAAAAGCUAAGCAUCUAACAAGUGCUUGAGGAAAAGAUUCAGGAAGGAAGUAAUGUCUAAACCUGCAAAAUUCAUCUCAGAAGGAGGAUCAUCAACUAGACCACCUCUUUUUGAAGGAAAUGACUACUACUACUGGAAAGACAAGAUGAAAUUGUUU